Molecule: long non-coding RNA, 472 nt
Organism: Venturia canescens
Lineage: Eukaryota; Metazoa; Arthropoda; Insecta; Hymenoptera; Ichneumonidae
Exons: 3
Source: RefSeq, a predicted model, not a curated record
UGACAACACGCUCGUUGUUGUGUGUCGCAACUCGUGAGAAACCCCUCGGGAGCCAUCGCGGUAGCCCUCCGGUAAAGCUCGUGAGAGUUGCUCGACCACGAUUUUUCCGUCAUGUUUUUGUCACCGAGUGAUGUUGGCGUGAUCCAUCGAUCCAGAGGGUCGAAUUCGAUCGAGCGAAAAGCAGACGAUGAGCAUGAAAUCGAGGGCGAUCGCAAAUGAUCCUCGAUAUUAUCCGCUCGAUGUGAGCAUGCGGACACACAUCACUUUAAUCACGCGCCACGCAGGAUAAGCCGCAAAAUCGAUCGAGUCGGCGACUUUUUAGCUUCGAAAUCAAUAGGAAGGAUGCGAGUCGGGGGAGCAAGUCUGCGGGAAAACGAUGACCGAUUGUAGAAAUUCGUGGAAAAGUGAAUGAAAUAAAACUCAAGACCCGUUUGUGCUCGACGUUACGCCCAGCAUAUUUUUCUCUCUUUUG